Molecule: ribosomal RNA, 468 nt
Filed under: uncultured bacterium
Lineage: Bacteria
Description: partial 16S ribosomal RNA
Rfam family: Bacterial small subunit ribosomal RNA
Source: RNAcentral
GACGAACGCUGGCGGCGUGCUUAACACAUGCAAGUCGAACGGAAAGGCCCUGCUUUUGUGGGGUGCUCGAGUGGCGAACGGGUGAGUAACACGUGAGUAACCUGCCCUUGACUUUGGGAUAACUUCAGGAAACUGGGGCUAAUACCGGAUAGGAGCUCCUGCUGCAUGGUGGGGGUUGGAAAGUUUCGGCGGUUGGGGAUGGACUCGCGGCUUAUCAGCUUGUUGGUGGGGUAGUGGCUUACCAAGGCUUUGACGGGUAGCCGGCCUGAGAGGGUGACCGGCAACAUUGGGACUGAGAUACGGCACAGAAUCCAACGGGAGGCAGCAGUGGGGAAUAUUGCAAAAUGGGCGGAAGCCUGAUGCAGAAACGCAGCGUGCGGGAUGAAGGCCUUCGGGUUGUAAACCGCUUUAGCCUGUGACGAAGCGUGAGUGACGGUAAUGGGUAAAGAAGCACCGGCUAACUACGUG